RNAcentral lists this ribosomal RNA (354 nucleotides) under Triticum aestivum (bread wheat). Its description in RNAcentral is "partial small subunit ribosomal RNA". The record is from RNAcentral. Lineage: Eukaryota; Viridiplantae; Streptophyta; Magnoliopsida; Poales; Poaceae.
AUGGCUCGCAUGGAUGUCGUGCUGACGGCGACCGCCCAGCAAAAGAGCGAGGCGGCUGUGGCGCGUGGUGCGCGCCGUGCUCUGCAUGCUGCCGCGUGGCCUGCUACCGUCCGGUGCAAGCUGGCCAUGGACCUCGGCCUCCUCCGCCGCUGCAAGAAAGCCGGCAAGGCCCUCGGCGGCCUUUCUUCGGCGGGGUCGUCGUCCUUCUCGUGCCAUGCACUCGACCCGGCCCUCGCGGUGCACGAGCCCUCGCGCGACCGCCGCGAGGUCGAGUUCAGCUGCAACAACACCCCUUUCUCCGCCACCGCCGCCAGGAGCCGCUACCACCGUGGCGACGAGGACCCCGGGAACUAG